GACGAACGCUGGCGGCGUGCUUAACACAUGCAAGUCGAACGGAAAGGCCCUGCCUUUGUGGGGUGCUCGAGUGGCGAACGGGUGAGUAACACGUGAGUAACCUGCCCCUGACUCUGGGAUAACCUCAGGAAACUGGGGCUAAUACCGGAUAGGAGCUCCUGCUGCAUGGUGGGGGUCGGAAAAUUUCGGCGGUUGGGGAUGGACUCGCGGCUUAUCAGCUUGUUGGUGGGGUAGUGGCUUACCAAGGCUUUGACGGGUAGCCGGCCUGAGAGGGUGACCGGCCACAUUGGGACUGAGAUACGGCCCAGACUCCUACGGGAGGCAGCAGUGGGGAAUAUUGCACAAUGGGCGGAAGCCUGAUGCAGCAACGCCGCGUGCGGGAUGACGGCCUUCGGGUUGUAAACCGCUUUCGCCUGUGACGAAGCGUGAGUGACGGUAAUGGGUGAAGAAGCACCGGCUAACUACGUG
This 468-nucleotide ribosomal RNA is filed under the name uncultured bacterium. RNAcentral describes it as "partial 16S ribosomal RNA". It matches the Rfam family "Bacterial small subunit ribosomal RNA", at positions 28 to 507 of the family's 1533-position model. The record is from RNAcentral.